RNAcentral lists this ribosomal RNA (516 nucleotides) under uncultured Glomeromycotina. RNAcentral's name for it is "SSU rRNA". It matches the Rfam family "Eukaryotic small subunit ribosomal RNA", at positions 548 to 1069 of the family's 1831-position model. Lineage: Eukaryota; Fungi; Glomeromycota. The record is from RNAcentral.
UUGGAGGGCAAGUCUGGUGCCAGCAGCCGCGGUAAUUCCAGCUCCAAUAGCGUAUAUUAAAGUUGUUGUGGUUAAAAAGCUCGUAGUUGAACCUUGGGCCUGGCUGGCCGGUCCGCCUCACCGCGUGUACUGGUCCGGCCGGGCCUUUCCCUCUGUGGAACCCCAUGCCCUUCACUGGGUGUGGCGGGGAAACAGGACUUUUACUGUGAAAAAAUUAGAGUGCUCCAGGCAGGCCUAUGCUCGAAUACAUUAGCAUGGAAUAAUAGAAUAGGACGUGUGGUUCUAUUUUGUUGGUUUCUAGGACCGCCGUAAUGAUUAAUAGGGACAGUCGGGGGCAUCAGUAUUCAAUUGUCAGAGGUGAAAUUCUUGGAUUUAUUGAAGACUAACUACUGCGAAAGCAUUUGCCAAGGAUGUUUUCAUUAAUCAGGAACGAAAGUUAGGGGAUCGAAGACGAUCAGAUACCGUCGUAGUCUUAACCAUAAACUAUGCCGACUAGGGAUCGGACCGAUGUUAUUU